AAGCAUUGUGGUAGGUGCGGAGGACUGCACCGCAUGCUAGGCCUGGGCUGACGAACCACAGCCAGUCAUUUCUUCAUUCCUUCAUUCACUCAGAACCAGUGGAUUCAGCCCCUGCUCUGUACCAGUGUCUGGGCCGGGCAUUAGAGGGAUGGCAGUGAGUGAGAGACAUGGCUCUCGCCCUGGUGUAACUUCCAGUCCAGCAGAGAAGACAGACUUACAGAGUCAUUACAAUGACACUCAAUGACAGGUCUCCUAAGAACAGAAUUACCCACUGGAGUUGGAAACACUCGGAUGGUCAAUGGGUUCUGAUCUGCUUAUCAGCCUUCUCUAGAUGCAUCUUCAAACUGAACAUGUAGGCUUACAUAGGUCUUGCAGUCAGAUGGACAUGGAUCAGAAUCCAAGGUCUAGUAUUAUUAGCUACAUGAACCUGGGCUCAGCCCAGAUCAAGCAAGAGUCAAAGAGAAUGCAUGGAGAUCAUCUAAGAGCCCAGGGAGUCCUCUCAUCAGGAUGCCAGAAGGAAGGAUAUGACUGAAACCGUGGAAGAUUCUAGAAAUCUGGUAAUUCUCAGGCUUAUCUACCCUCAUGGAGCAGCAUAAAAGAUGACCAUAAAGGGUCCUGUGGGCUUGUCCUUGGGGAGAAAGGGGCAGGAGGAGCUGGGGAUAUUGAAUCCUGACUGUUAGCUAUGAUCAGUGUUCAUAGGACUGCUGGUAGCUCCAGAAGAUGGAGGCAGCAGGAUGUGCCCCUGGGCUUUCAGGAAGGAAGAACAAGCCCAGAGAAAGUUGUCUGGGGCAGAGAAGUGACUCCAGGGUUUUAAGCCUCAGGGUGUUGAGUCCAGAGGAAUGGAGAUGAGGUGUUUCUCUGCCUCCUACUCUCAUCAUACCUCAUUGAAGAAGACUUCUGGCAGCUGAUCUCCUAUUUAUAUUGCCCAUCUCAGGCCCUGGGUCCAAAGUUUUUCCAAAGGAGAAACAUCCCCUUUGUGUGCCUUCCUUCCUCUGGGUAAAAUGCUUUUGUUCAGCUCUGGGCUUGAGGAGGCGAAGUUGUAAAGUCACAGUUUGUAAUCAGUAGCUCCACCUGCCUUUUGCAUCUCUCUCUGUAGGUUGCCUGAUUUAGCCUCACCCUUACCCCUCUGUUCUGGCAAUGUCCACUUUCCCUGGCCUUCUCCCCAAGACAAAACCUCUGAGAAGUCAUUCAACACACUCAAGUUACACUGUUGAGUGGUUUUAGCUCUCUUCUUUCUGACUCUAAAGCUCAUGCUCUUUCAAUCACCCCACGUGGUUUUCACAUAAAAAUUCUCAUCAUAGCACAAGUCUCUGAAAUAAAAAAACUGGAAAUAACCUAAAUGUUCAACAAUUAGGGGGUUGUAUAGUAAAUCACGAUGUAUCCAUUUGUUAGAACAUUAUACAGACAUUAAAAGUGAUCAUCACAGAGACUGUAUAGCAACUUGGGGAAAGGUUUAUGAUAAGACACUAAGUGAAAAUACUACAAUUGCUUUGAUUGCAAUGAUGGAAAAUAUGUCAGUGUGUCAACAAGGGCUGCAAGAUAAUAUGCAGAGGUGAAAAAUAGCUGUGUUUUGGGUGGAGUUUUUUCUUUCCUUCUAAAAUGAUGUGCUUCUUUUAAAUUCUUCUUGUGUAGUCGUUUUUCUUCCUGUGAGAUAAUUUUUCAGGGUUGGUGUAGAGCACACAAGAAUAUAUGGUGAGACAAGGUCAAAAUCUGAGAAAUUUCCACAAUGGGGACCCCCCAGUUUAGUGAUGCUGACUCCUUCAUGUUAAGAGGCUCCAGCUCAGACAUAGAACCUCCAUAUUGUGGUUAAGAGCAGAGGUUUUGUAGUCAGAUGGACAUGGAUCAGAAUCCAAAGUCUAGUAUUAGUAGCUGCAUGAACCUGGGCUCAGUACAGAGCAAGCACUCCUGUGCAGUCAACACAACCAGACACAGGAGAUAAACUUCUCAAUACAUUUUGAAUAGAGAAUGUCCUACAAUCCCCUUCCUCCAUAAUUAAUCAGCAGUAUUGGCUGUUUCGAUUCUCCAACUCUCUAGUAAAGCAAGGCUUCAUUGAUUUUAUUUUUUGGCGAGGGGUUUGCGGGUGAGGGUUGGGGGAGGGGGGCAGGGGGAGGUGUGUUGUCUGUCACUGUCCAUGGUUCUGAACCGGCACUACAACAAGUAUAUGGUUGUUUCUCUGGGAAAUUGCAGGGCUGGCAUAUCCUCUGCCCCACCCUAUUUUUCCAUAGAAGUACAUUUAUGCUAACCACUUCAAUGUGGUCUUCAUCAGUGUGAGGUUAAAAAACUUUGGAAUUCUUGGAGCUUGGCAGGAAAGGGAAUUAGAAAAAAUCGCAAGUUGUGGGGGCAGGAGUGGUAGAUGAUAUGUCAGCUCUUACUGAGUUAUGACCCUGGUUAAUGGCUGCAAGACAUAUCAUAUGUUGGGUAGAAAGUUUUGAGUCAUGGCAGCCUUUGUGAGCUUUGAAACUAGGAGAGAAAAACCAUAAGACCAACAGUUGGUACUGGUACUACUUCUUUAAUCUGCAGUUGUCACAGAGUCUUGGUGUACUUUAUAAAGUGUAAAAAAGUGGCUUUGAUGAUCUGUUCCAUAGACUAUCUCCAAAAUGACAGCAACCAGCAAAGACAACUCCAAUAGGAAAUAAUCUGUGACUACUCUCUGUCUCUGUCAUCUCCUUUCUCUAUUUAUCUCUGUCUUUCUCUGUGCUCAUGUAGUCUCUCUGCCCCUCCUCUCUCCUCUUCUUCCCAGCCCUCCCUGCUCUCCCUUCAAUCUACUUUUGCUUGUAAGAAAAACACUAUGUAAUUUUCUUUAAAAAUUAAUUCUACCCUACAAAAUAUGUCUAAAAUAUUCAAGAGGGGGAAAAGUUUCUUUAAUAGAACUGUUUCUUCCAGCAUAAUCAAGUUAAUGAGUGCCUCCUUAUAAUUUAAUGCGAAGUAAUUUUCACACUGGUGGUGAGCUUCAAAGAUAGGUGAAUAGAUAAUUAAUAGCAUGAUUCCCCCUGGCAACCAAGGUAAACUUCAGUCCUGAUUGGGCAAAAACAGUCAAGAAGAGGAUGGAAUUAACUACAAACAGCCACAUUUGUCACCAGUGCUCUUUGGAGCAACAAGAAGAGAAAAAAAGGCAAUAAUGAGUGUUGAAAGAGGAUGGGAUGGGUUGUAAACCUAAAGUUAGUUGCAGAAGAUUUUUCUGUUCAUUUGUUUGUUUGACUAUGAAAUUUGGUCUGAACUGAACUGGAAAAGCUAGAAGGCAGGAGUGACAUCCAAUUUUAAUAAAAUCAAUGGCAGGCAAAAAUCAUUUUCAAUGUGUUUGAAGAGAGAGUCUGCUCAAUUCAUGGGCUGCUGGAGCAAGCCAUCACAUGGAGGUUAGUCUACUCCUGCUCAUUAGCCCUGAAAGUCAGAGACCAAGGCAAGAGCAAACCCAACCCAGGAAGGCUGCUGACAUAGGAUGUAGUCAAAGAAAUCUGCAACCUAGUCAGUCUUUAAAGCCUGUGGACACUUUCUACAUAAUGCCAUCUUAAUUUCUCCAUUUUCUCCAUUCCCAUUGCCUUCAUCCAAACCUUUAUCAUGUCUCACCUGAACUAUUACAAUAUCUGUCUAUCUUGUUUCCACAUUGGCCAGAAGUGCUCUACCUACUACCCAAAUCUAGUCAUGCUGUUCCCUGCUUAAAUCUCUUCAAAGGGAUAGGAAUACUUAUCAUAACAUAGGGAUACAUGAUACAAACUCUCUACUUUUGAAUACAAGGCCCUUCAUGGUCUCACUCUGCUUCCCCUCGCCAGCCAGCCACAUCGCUCCCCUCUCUCCUCCCUUACCCUACUGGGCAUCCUAUUAUUAGACUUUCUGAACAACCUGCCAUUCCACUAAUUUGUGUGUCAUGCUCUCUCCCUUUUCUAGGUUAAUCGUUUUGCCUGGAAAUUCUCUUUCCCUCUCCAAUCCUCUUCUGACUGACACAUGCCCUUCCAGAUCCUGGCAAGGCACUAUCCCUGCCUUCCCUGACCACUGUCAACAUCAAAGUCUUGGCCAAUCGCUCUUUUUUUUCUUUUUUGAGAUGGAGUCUCGCUCUUUCGCCCAGGCUGGAGUGCAGUGGCGUGAUUUCGGCUCACUGCAAACUCUGCCUCCCGGGUUCACGCCAUUCUCCUGCCUCACCUCCCAAGUAGCUGGGACUACAGUCACCCGCCACCGUGCCCGGCUAAUUUUUUAUACUUUUUUUAGUACAGACGGGGUUUCACCGUGUUAGCCAGGAUGGUCUCGAUCUCCUGACCUCAUGAUCCACCCGCCUCAGCCUCCCAAAGUGCUGGGAUUACAGGCAUGAGCCACCGCACCUGGCCAAUCACUCUUAGUAUAUAUUUCCUAAAUACUCAACACAUAUCUCUAUUUUAGUGCCUAUUACCUUGCUUGACAAUGGUUUACUCCCCUAUCUCUCUGUCUUUACCAUAGGCUCCUAGAGGACAGAGAGUGUGUCUUGGUUCUUGUGGCACCCAAGCUCUUAGCAUGGGGCCUGGCACAUAAUAGGCACUCAGUAAAUGUUUGUUAAUAAAUAAAUGAAAUAAGAUUGCUAAGUAAAAAUUAAUUAUAGACAAGGUUGAAAGUAAGAAGGGAAUAGACCUAUCCCUAGACAAUGCAUUUAUUUAAGUCUUUAUUCAAAUAGAAUUUUCUCCUAAUUUUAAUAUACAACUGAGGAGUUAAUGUCAUCAAUAUUUGUGAAAUUUCAUACUUUCAAUAGGAGAAAAAUAGUACCUGUGCACAAACAGCAGCUAUAAGUGAAACAUGAAUGGUGAUAACAUGAAGUGCUUUGGGAGAAUAGAGAGGUGGGGUGAGAUAUUGCUAUUGUGCAUGAUGGCAGGGAGGCAUGAGGCCUCAUGUAGCAGUUAGGAAUUAUCUGCCCUGACUUUCUGCCUUUAUCUCACAUGGUGCUCAUCCUGCACCAUGACUGGUGGCUAAAACACUGAGUUUCUGGAGACUCAGCCCUGGCCAUAAAGGUAGAAAAGGGAUCUUAUUUUGUCCACUACUGUCCACACUCUUUGUUUGCCCCAGUGCCUAGUUUCUAACCCUGCCAGUUUGGUCUUUUCUUCCUGGCUCCAACUGGCCUGGAAGAGACACUCUGUGCUUGUUUUCUUGGAAUCUUCUAGGAUUUAGGUUUAUCAAGCUCUCCCUACUGGAUGUUUUAGGGGACCCCUGAGAUCCUACAUGUGCAUCAAAUUGGCUCUCUGAAGCAGGGGAUAGGGAAGAAAGUGGGCCUUAAAGGACAGUGGGAACCGAAUAGGCAGAAGUGAAGGAUGGGGCAUAAACCAUUUAAGGAGUGGGGCAGGAUGAGCAACACAUGAGUGGGAAAUCGCAGCAGAGUGCAUGGCAAGGAGGGCAGUGCUGGGAGCAGGAGAAGAUGCCUGGAUGGAUGCCCAUGCCGAAGACACUGGAUGGGGGAAAUAGGAGUCAGCACGCAAGACAGGGAAGCUACAGGAGAACCUGAAAAAACACCAUAAUGGGAGUCAAACAAGAAACCAAACCAAGGCCAACCCAACUCAGGGUCAGAGCCCAAGAAGGGGUUACAGACAGACUUCAAGCCAAGUUCUUCCUGCAGGUUCAGAGCUUGGUGCAUGGCCAGGGUCUUGGACUAGGGGUCAUAAUAUGCUUAUCUCCAUAGGUUAUUUUAGGGCUCUGACAGGGACAAUGAAGAGACAAACACCGAGGGAUGAGUGGUUGCCCACAGGUUGGGUUGUUGUUUUGGGAGUCCUGAGACUGACCCUACAGGUGCACAGACAAACCUGCAUGCACACUCAAGUCUUCUGGACCUGAGCCUAACAUCUGAAAAUGGAGUGGGAGGGCAGUGGCUACAAUGCUAAAUGCUAAAUAGCUUGAGUUGGAAAAAGCUAUUGGCUUGGGCAAUCUGGAAGACAAUGAAUAAAAGAGUAAUGAGCCAUGUUAUGGAGGUCAGAAGAAAAGAACCAUACUCCCUUGGCAAGUGUGGCUGUGGAGGAAGACAAGAACUAGGACAUAGUGAGAGGGAUAAGCUGAGGUUUUGUACUGUUAUUUUAAUAGGUAUAGUUUGUUCGUAAAAAGGCUACUUAGGAUAGACGAUAUGUGUCUAUUUCUGGCCAUAUACUCCCAGGAAAGGAGCCAGGCCUUCCCAGGAUCUCAGCCCACAUCGUGCAGCUCAAUGCCAGCAGGAUGAAGGGACUUCUUGGGACUAUCAUCUGGAAACUGGGCCCUUGGAUCUGCAGGAGUCUGCAAAGACAGCAGGGUCUCUCUUUGUGUCCUUUGAACUAUUGUCAACAUCUCCCAAAACUUAACAGAAAUGUGAUUUGGUUGUGCAAGGGCUGACAACUCAAUGGCAGAUUUCUUUGCUUUUGGCUGGAAGUACAGCAACUCAGUGUGGCAACAUGAGCUAUCUCCCACUGAUCUGAAGCUCUGAUUGCCAGUUAUAGAUGUCUUUGAUGAAUAAAAAAUGGGAAAGUGAAUUGAUUAUUACUUAUGAAAUGCAGAUUGUUUGGUAGACAAAUAUCUUUCAAACCUUGAGGCCCAUCAGGGAGGAUAAUGAAAGUAACCCUUGGCAAUGAGAGGGUUGAAGUUCAUGGAUCUGGGGGAGGCCUGGAAAACCCAACUCCAUAAUCAGUGAUAACAACAGUCUCUUUGUUUCUCUGUCUUACUGUUUCCCUGUCUCCAUGCUUGUCUGUCUAUCUGUCUCUCUCUCUCUCUGGGUUUCUUCCAGCCUUUCUGCCUUCCUGACUCAGGUUUCUAGCUUUCUAUGCUUGCGCCUUUCUCAUUUUGUUCCCAUCUUUGGCCUCCCUGAUUCUAGGCAGGUCUCUUUCUUUGGUUUUUCUCUCCUCUCUAACUCUGUCUAGGUUUUUCAGGAUUCCUGACUAUUGGCAUCUCUCAUGGCCCCACAUCUUCUGGUUUCCCUGGUGUCAUUUCUCCUAUGGCUUCUCUCUCUCUCUCUCUCUCUCUCUCCUCUCUUCUUGGCCUGCUAGUGGUUCCUGUGACAUUUCCUGCCUCUUUUCUGCCAUCAAAGCCUCCCUGAUUCAGCGUCUUGUUGUCUAAAGGUGUCUUCAUGGUGUCUGGGGAGAUUCUUAUGAGUGGGGUAUCUUCCCUCCUGCCCCUUACUUCACUAGGCAGGAAGCUGCAUGAAGCAGAGGCUUUGCCUUGCUCAAUUCUGUCUCCUCAGUGCCUAGAACAGUGCCUGCCACAUAGAAGGGCUGGAUAAAGCCCUGCUAACUGGCAGGUUCCAUGUCUCUCGGGGACUCUGCUCUUGUUUUUAUUUGCCUGCUAGGUCUCCAUGACUCUCAAGCCUCUCUCGUGGCCUCUGUCUCUGUCUUGUCUGUUCUGGCCUUUUUGUCUGUCUCUUAUGGUAUCUCCUUCUCCCUGACUCUUGACUGUGUCUCUGUCUCAUUGGCAUCUCCCUCGUGGUCUCCACAUCUCUUCUGUCUCAGCAGCAUGGACAGGCCAGAGCUAGGGCAGAAACCGGGCCAAUCCUGUCAGGCCUCGUGGCACGCACAGCCUCCUGCUGGGCCUCUCUCCAGGAUCCUCUAAUGGAAACAACUAAAGGAGAAGCUGUUUGCUUGGAAGCAAACAGCAUCAGCCCUCCAGGCAGCAAAGGCUGCCUCCAAGUUGAUUCGGCCCCUUUUCUCCAGCCCAAUUGCUUUGACCAGUCAAGGGCUUUGAAGAGCCUCUCAGGGCAGUAACUGCAGUGGACUCAUCCCUGGCUGCACGGAGGUGUGGGGGCCACUUUCUCAGUAGGUUCUCACCAUGAGUGCCCUGGAUCACAGACAGAUGGAGCUGCUCCUGGAACUAGCAGCCAUCUCUCCUGACUGAUGACUGCCUUGGCUUCAGUUAAGCAUACUGCAGGGGUCUAAGCCCGGAGGAGGGUCAGCCCUGGAGGAAUAAAAUUGUUGGGUCUGAGUGUCUAUGCUGUCAAGGCUAAGAGAGCGAGAUUUAGACUCAAAAAACUGGGUUAAAGUCCUAAUCCAACCACUGACUUUAUGCCUCAGUUUUCACAUCCGUGAAGUGGGAAUAGUAGCCUUUAUCUUGUAGGGUGGAUAGUGGAUUCAGUGUGAUAAUAUAUGAAAAGCACAAUGUCUGGACUAUGGUGAACACUCAGUAAAUGGCAGCUAUUGGAAGUGGAAGGCAAUGGGUAUACACAGGAGCUCUUCUGCUGAAGAAGGAAGGCAUGGGUGCUAACUCUGUGACAUCUUUGAGUAUUUUGAGCAGCAAUGCAUCUAGAGUUAAAGGGUUCCAGAAGAGACAAGAGCUCCGUUUGGCCAUCUGGUCCAGCCCCUUGCCUUCAGCAGAUGACUUUGCAAACCACCCGGGGCAGAUGGUGGGUGUUCUCUUCUGGAAGUUCUCCAGGGGCAGACACCCCCACCUCCCCUCCCUCACUCAUUUCUAGCUUUCCUUCCUUCACAGUCAAGAUGGGCUCCCUUAUGUUCCAUCUCAAAGCUUCUUGCUUCACACAGGCCUGUUGGCUACGGCACUUGCUUCACAGGCCUGGCGAAGAGUCCCUAUGGGUCAGCCUUUAAGGGAGGCCAUGCAAAGUGUAUGUUCCCCAGGCUGCAGCUGCAAUUUCUGAGGGGAGCCUUCACAGCCUCCCAUUUCAGCAAAUUGCAGGAAGUCAAAGAUGACACGUAGUCUGCAGUACAGUGCAGAGCAAAUACUCACUUGAAAAUAUCUCUGCCUUUUCCAAUUUCCUGGAAAUUGACAAGUGUUUCCAGGAUUCAGCCUUUGCAGCCAGGCCUGGCUGGGCCCUAUCUUUCUCUCCACGACCCCUGCUGAACCUGUGAAGUCCCCACCUCCACCCCCUGAGCCAGCUUACACGGUGGUUCUUCACCACCCCUGGGUCCACUUCUCUUGCCUCUUUGCUGUGGUCCUGUGCAUCUUGGCACCUGCAGAUGCUGGCAGAAUGGGAAGAGGGGUUUGGGUGUGACUCGCUUCCCCUCUUUGCUCCAGAUGACUCACCACCUGCCUUAGCUUUUCUCUUCCCAUCGUUACAUAAUCCUGACUCCAGGAUUAAAAAUACUCCACUGAAUACCCCGUCCAUCUGUCAUAUUCUCUCUCUCUCUCUUCAUAUAUAUAUGUAUAUAUGAUCUUAUUUUAAAAAUACUCUGGAAAGAGCACUUCCAUCGUUCAUUUACAUCAUAUUAGAAAUGGAUUUCCGAGUCAGCACUGGCUUCCUCCAGAAUAGCAGUCCUGGAGGAGCGAGAUCUCCCCAAGCCUCCAGGAUUGCAGUCUGUUUUGUGCCUUCACUCCCUAAUAGGUUUGCCUUAUUUAAAGGACACACCUUCAGAGCUGCCAAGGACUUUCUCAGAGCAGCUCCUUGGUCCCUCCGACAGCCUGGGAUGGCAUUUAUUCUGGGGCCUGGGUGUGGGGAGGUCCUCACCAGCCUAGGAGUAAGAGGAGGUGGUGAACUGGGCCCUCUGGCCUAAUUCAGGGCCCCAAGUCUAAUCUCCAGGAUGGGGACCCCUGAGUUUUGCUCUGCCCCCACGUCUCAUGACUCUUCCUACCUUGUCUCUAUGUAUUAGGAAUCAUCCCUCGAUUGAUGGAGGGAAAGUGAAAGGGCUUAUAUCUGUUUUCCUUUUUGUGAUACAACCUGAGCGACACCUAGAGCUAGAAGUGACCAGCACCCAAGAUCCAGCCUCACUCAUUCAUACACUCCCUCAUUCAUAUGCUCCCUCAUUCAUUCUACACAUACUUGUUGGGGGUUUACUGUGUGCUUGGUGUAUCAGACAGACAGUGCCUUCCAAGAGUGUGCAGCUGAGGUAGGGGAGAAAGAUCAUGUAGACCAGAUAAUUUAGAGUCAUGGGACAUAGGUUCGAGUCCAGUCUCUGCCAGAUGCCAGUUAUGUGUUAGUCAUCAGAGCUCAGAACCUCAGUGGUCUCAUCUGUGCAAUGGGCACUCCUGGAGCUGGUACAGCACUAAUGGGAAUGAAAGUGCAGUGACACUGGGCAGAAAUGUAUCAUUUGGUGUAUAAAUGCUUUCAAAGCCUGAGUUUGCUGUUGAAAAAAAGGAAAUCAGCGUAUCAAAGAGAUAUCUGCACCUUCAUGUUUAUUGCAGCACUAUUCACAAUAGCCAAGAUAUGGAAUCAACCCAAGUGCCCAACAACAGAUGGGUGGGUAAAGAAAGUGUGGUACAUAUACACAAUGGAAUAUUAUUCAGCCAUAAAAAAGAAGGAAGUCCUUCCAUAUGCAGCAACUUGGGUGGAACUGGAGGACAUUAUGUUAGAUAAGAUAAGCUAGGAACAGAAAGUUAAACACCGAACAUUCUCACUCAUAUGCGGAAGCUAAAAGAAAGUUGAUCUCAUAGAAGUAAAAAGCAGAACAGAGGUUAUUGGAGGCUGGGAAGAGGAGUGGGGAGGAAGGAUAGGGAGAGAUUUUUUCAAGGACACAAAAUUACAGCUAGGCGGUAGAGUAAGUUCUAGUGCUCUAUAGCACUGUAGGAUGACUAUAGUUAACAAUAACGUACAGUUUCCAAUAGCUAGAAGGAGGAUAUCAAAUGUUCCCAACACAAAGAGAUAAUACAUGUUUGAGAUAAUGAAUAUGCUAAUUACCCGGAUCUGAUUACUAUACAUUGUAUGUAUCGAAAUAUCACUCUGUACCCCAUAAGUACAAUUGUUAUGCAUCAAUUAGAAAAAUAAAUUUAAAAAGUUG
This 10622-nucleotide long non-coding RNA is filed under the name Homo sapiens (human). RNAcentral's name for it is "HSALNT0291421". The record is from RNAcentral. Lineage: Eukaryota; Metazoa; Chordata; Mammalia; Primates; Hominidae.